AACGAACGCUGGCGGCGUGGAUAAGACAUGCAAGUCGAACGGGAUUACAUUUGUAGCAAUACAGGUGUGAUUCAGUGGCGUAAGGGUGCGUAACACGUGGGGAAUCUGCCGAGAAGUGGGGGAUAGCUCGUCGAAAGGCGAAUUAAUACCGCAUGUGACUAGAGUUGACAUCAACUCGACGUCAAAGCCGGGGUAACCUGGCGCUUCUUGAUGACCCCGNGGCCUACAGCUAGUUGGUGAGGUGACGGCUCACCAAGGCUAUGACGGGUAGCUGGUCUGAGAGGACGACCAGUCACACUGGAACUGAGACACGGUCCAGACACCUACGGGUGGCAGCAGUCGAGUAAUUUUUCNCAAGUGGGGAAACCCUGAAGGAGCGACGCCGCGUGGAGGAUGAA
This 398-nucleotide ribosomal RNA is filed under the name uncultured bacterium. RNAcentral's name for it is "bacterial SSU rRNA". It matches the Rfam family "Bacterial small subunit ribosomal RNA", at positions 29 to 412 of the family's 1533-position model. The record is from RNAcentral.